UCCUAGCUGGCUCAGUUGGUAGAGUGUGUGACUCCUGCUCUCAGGGUUGUGAGUUCGAAUCCCAUGCUGGGUG
This is a non-coding RNA of Lutra lutra (Eurasian river otter), 73 nucleotides long. The record is from the annotation of a RefSeq genome assembly. NCBI's taxonomy places the organism in Eukaryota, Metazoa, Chordata, Mammalia, Carnivora, Mustelidae.